RNAcentral lists this ribosomal RNA (465 nucleotides) under uncultured bacterium. RNAcentral's name for it is "bacterial SSU rRNA". It matches the Rfam family "Bacterial small subunit ribosomal RNA", at positions 338 to 795 of the family's 1533-position model. The record is from RNAcentral.
CCUACGGGACGCACCAGUGGGGAAUAUUGCACAAUGGGCGCAAGCCUGAUGCAGCCAUGCCGCGUGUAUGAAGAAGGCCUUCGGGUUGUAAAGUACUUUCAGCGAGGAGGAAGGCAUUAAGGCUAAUAACCUUGUCGAUUGACGUUACCCGCAGAAGAAGCACCGGCUAACUCCGUGCCAGCAGCCGCGGUAAUACGGAGGGUGCAAGCGUUAAUCGGAAUUACUGGGCGUAAAGCGCACGCAGGCGGUCUGUAAAGUCGGAUGUGAAAUCCCCGGGCUCAACCUGGGAACUGCAUUCGAAACUGGCAGGCUAGGGUCUUGUAGAGGGGGGUAGAAUUCCAGGUGUAGCGGUGAAAUGCGUAGAGAUCUGGAGGAAUACCGGUGGCGAAGGCGGCCCCCUGGACAAAGACUGACGCUCAGGUGCGAAAGCGUGGGGAGCAAACAGGAUUAGAUACCCUCGUAGUC